RNAcentral lists this small RNA (3419 nucleotides) under Pongo abelii (Sumatran orangutan). Its description in RNAcentral is "retained intron". The record is from RNAcentral. Lineage: Eukaryota; Metazoa; Chordata; Mammalia; Primates; Hominidae.
CUAUGUUGGCAGUGAGGGGUGAGGAUGAUGACCAGCUGUAUGUUUGUCUUCAGAUGCAGAGGUUGUGGUAGGAACCACGAGGCCAGAGACGCUGCCUGGAGAUGUGGCUGUGGCCGUUCAUCCAGACGACUCGCGAUACACAGUAAUACCCAGUGCGCUUCUGCACUCUGGCCCGCCCCGCCUAUGGCCUUCUCUUCUCUUGGGUUUUAAAUGGUGGCUCUUUCUCUCUUGCUUCUACUUCCUUUUCCUGAGACUUCUCUCAGUGGUUCUGAUUCGACUCCCUCCUGUUCUUACACUUUUUCUGUAGCUCAGGGGUUGACAAACUGGCCCAUGGUCCUAAUCCAGCUUGCGGCCUUUUUUUUUGAGAUGGAGUCUUGCUCUGUCACCAAGGCUGGAGGGCAGUGGCACGAUCUUGGCUCACUGCAACCUCCACCUUCCGGGUUCAAGCAAUUCUCCUGCCUCAGCCUCCUGAGUAGCUGGGAGUGUGGCACCAUGCCCGGCACGUGCCACCACGCCCGGCUAAUUUUUUGUAUUUUUACAAAAAUUAGUAAUUAAUUUUUUUUAAGUAAUGUAAUUUUUAAGUAAUGUUAUUUAGUAGAGACGGGGUAUCACUCUGUUAGCCAGGAUAGUCUCGAUCUCCUGACCUCGUGAUCUGCCCACCUCGGCCUCCCAAAGUGCUGGGAUUACAGGCGUGAGCCACUGCGCCCAGCCGCUUGCAGCCUUUAUAUUAUCUAUGGCUGCUAUUAUAUACCCUCUCCAGCUCUGCUGCAGUGGCAGAAUAGAGUAAUUGUGCAGAGAUUGAAUUUGUCUCUAGGCCCAAAAGCCUAAAAUAUCUACAUUCUGGCCCCUUAAGAGUUUGCUGACCUUGCUCUAGCUCACUACCUUCCACUUUCUACCUUCUUAUUCCUGGGGUUCUCACGCCCCAGCCCAGACCCUUCCAACCCUCACAGGUGCCUGUCCCUGAUCCCUCUCCCUUCCCUUCAGCAUCUACAUGGGCGACAGCUUCGUCACCCCUUGAUGGGGCAGCCUCUUCCCCUCAUCACAGACUAUGCUGUUCAGCCACAUGUGGGCACAGGGGCAGUGAAGGUGACUCCGGCUCACAGUCCUGCCGAUGCUGAGAUGGGGGCCCGACAUGACUUGAGCCCCCUGAAUGUCAUUGCGGAGGAUGGGACCAUGACCUCCCUCUGUGGGGACUGGCUGCAGGGACUUCACCGGUUUGUGGCCCGGGAAAAGAUAAUGUCUGUGCUGAGUGAACGGGGCCUGUUCCGGGGCCUCCAGAACCACCCCAUGGUACUGCCCAUCUGCAGCCGUUCUGGGGACGUGAUAGAAUACCUGCUGAAGAGCCAGUGGUUUGUCCGCUGCCAGGAAAUGGGGGCCCGAGCUGCCAAGGCUGUGGAGUCGGGGGCCCUGGAGCUCAGUCCCUCCUUCCACCAGAAGAACUGGCAGCACUGGUUUUCCCAUAUUGGGGACUGGUGUGUCUCCCGGCAGCUGUGGUGGGGCCAUCAGAUUCCAGCCUACCUGGUUGUAGAGGACCACGCGCAGGGAGAAGAGGACUGUUGGGUGGUUGGGCGGUCAGAGGCUGAGGCCAGAGAGGUAGCAGCAGAACUGACAGGGAGGCCAGGGGCAGAGCUGACCCUGGAGAGGGAUCCUGAUGUCCUAGACACAUGGUUUUCUUCUGCUCUGUUCCCCUUUUCUGCACUGGGCUGGCCCCAAGAGACCACAGACCUUGCUCGUUUCUACCCCCUGUCACUUUUGGAAACGGGCAGCGACCUUCUGCUGUUCUGGGUGGGCCGCAUGGUCAUGUUGGGGACCCAGCUCACAGGGCAGCUGCCCUUCAGCAAGUAUGGAGGCCAGAGAUCCCAAGGCACCUCCAAGGAAACCCCCCUCUGCUGACCCCUCCCUUCCUCCAGGUGCUUCUUCAUCCCAUGGUUCGGGACAGGCAGGGCCGGAAGAUGAGCAAGUCCCUGGGGAAUGUGCUGGACCCAAGAGACAUCAUCAGUGGGGUGGAGAUGCAGGUACUGCAGGAAAAGCUGAGAAGUGGAAAUUUGGACCCCGCAGAGCUGGCCAUUGUGGCUGCAGCACAGAAAAAGGACUUUCCUCAUGGGAUCCCUGAGUGUGGGACAGAUGCCCUGAGAUUCACACUCUGCUCCCAUGGAGUUCAGGUGGGCGACUUGCGCCUGUCCGUCUCUGAGGUCCAGAGCUGCCGACAUUUCUGCAACAAGAUCUGGAAUGCUCUGCGCUUUAUCCUCAAUGCUUUAGGGGAGAAAUUUGUGCCACAGCCUGCUGAGGAGCUGUCUCCCUCCUCCCCGAUGGAUGCCUGGAUCCUGAGCCGCCUUGCCCUGGCUGCCCGGGAGUGUGAGCGGGGCUUCCUCACCCGAGAACUCUCGCUCGUCACUCAUGCCCUGCACCACUUCUGGCUUCACAACCUCUGUGACGUCUACCUGGAGGCUGUGAAGCCCGUGCUGUGGCACUCGCCCCGCCCCCUGGGGCCCCCUCAGGUCCUGUUCUCCUGCGCUGACUUCGGCCUCCGCCUCCUGGCCCCACUGAUGCCCUUCCUGGCUGAAGAGCUCUGGCAGAGGCUGCCCCCCAGACCUGGUUGCCCCCCUGCCCCCAGCAUCUCGGUUGCCCCCUACCCCAGAGCCUGCAGCUUGGAGCACUGGCGCCAGCCAGAGCUGGAGCGGCGCUUCUCCCGGGUCCAAGAGGUCGUGCAGGUGCUAAGGGCUCUCCGAGCCACGUACCAGCUCACCAAAGCCCGGCCCCGAGUGCUGCUGCAGAGCUCAGAGCCUGGGGACCAGGGCCUCUUCGAGGCCUUCUUGGAGCCCCUGGGCACCCUGGGCUACUGUGGGGCUGUGGGCCUGUUACCCCCAGGCACAGCAGCUCCCUCUGGCUGGGCCCAGGCUCCACUCAGUGACACGGCUCAGGUCUACAUGGAGCUGCAGGGCCUAGUGGACCCGCAGAUCCAGCUACCUCUGUUAGCCGCCCGAAGGUAUAAGUUGCAGAAGCAGCUUGAUGGCCUCACAGCCAGGACCCCAUCAGAAGGGGAGGCAGGGACUCAGAGGCAACAAAGGCUUUCUUCCCUCCAGCUGGAAUUGUCAAAACUGGACAACGCAGCCUCUCACCUCCGGCAGCUGAUGGAUGAGCCUCCAGCCUCAGGGAGCCCGGAGCUCUAACUCAUCAUCCCCAUCAGUUUUCCUCCCUCUCAGACCUGUCUUUGAGGACAAACAGAUUUGUCAGCUGUCAGGGUGCAGUGGGACAUCAGAGACUAUGUGGUCCAUCGCCUUCAUUGUGUAAAUGAGGACACAGACUGGCUUGGUCGCAGUGACUGUGGUGUCCUUGAGAUGCUCAUAUUACUGCCUGGCCUGCCUCCCACCUGGAAGUCUGGGAAUGAGGAGAUUCAGAUAAACUUUUGAAAUCCCAAA